UACUAGUCACGGAGACAUUUUUCUUCCUCUCUUCCUAGUGCAGCACAAGCUACUCUGACACCCCAGGGACGGGCUUAGGCACAGCUCUGCGGUGGGCUUGGUGCCGCAGCGCUGAACCUGUGACCCCGAGCACUGCUGUGGGCAUGCAAGUGAAUUCAGAGGGACCAAAGGGGAGACACAAGCCUGGCACAACCUGGGGAGUCUCUUCAGCAUUGCUCAGAGCACCACAUCAAGUCCAGCAUUCACAUGCACCCCAGCAGAAUUUGUUGUCAUCUGAAGGAGCCUGCUUUCAUUACCUCACUCUCAUCCAGGGAUCCCAAGGAAGAAAUGGAGAGGCUGAAGGAUGGAAACAGUACUUGCAGACUUUGCAAGGAAUAAAGCAACCUGUUCCACCUUCCACUCAUUCCAGUGUCCCUAAUACCAUGAAAAAAAUUAUAUUGACUCAAGUCAGAAAGAGAUCAGCCUCUUUGUGCUGCCAGAAUGGAUGAGGCUGUUCAUAGUGGUAAAUACCAGGUCUGCUGCAUUCAGACAAGGCAGUUUUUCUUCUGUGCCAAUAGACAGGAGUGUCUCUUCACUGUGUAUACCUGUCAGUAUCACUGCAAACAGCAGCAUCACCAGAAGGCAGGUUGGUGCUACAGAAUUUUCUUGUUAUUUGUCUUUAACAAAACACUAGCCUUUAAAGUAAAGAAAUUAAAAUCUACCUGAUUGUGAUCAGUGAUAUUUGAUGAGUGUGUGACAGUUGGUGGGGUUUGAUUUUGGGCAGUGAAUAGAGCAAAGCAAGCUGCCAGCUUGAGUUCACAUACAUCUGUGAAUCGUCUGUGAGGGCUCAAAACUAAUGAUCAAUAUGUUGUCUGUUGUGGUAAACAGACAUUUUUAAAAGAUUCUUGCUUCAUAGUCCACAGAAGCAUUUGAUUUCCAUGCCUAUUAAAUAAUGAUAGAUUUUAUGACAGCAAAUGUAAGAUCUGUCAUGUGACUGGAUCAACUUUUGCUGAUAAUCCAAUAUCUGACCCUAUAGCAAACUGGUGUUUCACAUCCCCAGUGCAGCUCCCACACUGCUUUUACACCCUGAUGGGCUGCACUGUCCCUUCUCCCAGGGCCUUACCAGUCUGCUGCCAGCUAGGAAAGGGAGAACAAGAGAGCACAAAAAUACACCAACAUUCCCCGUGUUUCUAAGUAACUAAGGGAUGAGGGUGUGAGGGAAGCCACACAGAUCUGCAGGAUCAUUGCCAGCAAGAUAUCAUCUCCUGUCCUGUGUAUUUUAAUGUAGGGAUUGAUGUCACGUUCCUGUGCAUGCUCAAGUAAUAACACCCAUGGUUGUUCUCAUAUUUUCUUGACACAUCUAGCACAGCACGAGCCUUUGUCUUAUCAUGCCAUGCUCUGUGCUUGGUCAGGGGCUGUCAGGAGGGAUGUGAGCUCACAGUGUGCAGUGGUACACGGUGUCUGCCCCAGGGAUGUACCAAAGCACCAGGGCACUCUUCUUUAGGAGAA
This 1488-nucleotide long non-coding RNA is filed under the name Cyanistes caeruleus (blue tit). RNAcentral describes it as "lncRNA (ENSCCEG00000019184.1)". Lineage: Eukaryota; Metazoa; Chordata; Aves; Passeriformes; Paridae. The record is from RNAcentral.